Molecule: ribosomal RNA, 514 nt
Filed under: Caltoris kumara
Lineage: Eukaryota; Metazoa; Arthropoda; Insecta; Lepidoptera; Hesperiidae
Description: partial 16S ribosomal RNA
Rfam family: Bacterial large subunit ribosomal RNA (bases 387-514)
Source: RNAcentral
GUCUUUUUGUUAAUAAUUUAAAGUCAAAUCUGCCCACUGAUUAAUAAUUAAAGGGCUGCAGUAUAUUGACUGUACAAAGGUAGCAUAAUAAUUAGUCUUUUAAUUGAAGACUUGUAUGAAAGAUUUGAUGAGAUAUAAGCUGUCUCUUUUUUAUAUUUAGAACUUAAUUUUUUAGUAAAAAAGCUAAAAUUAUUUUAAAAGACGAGAAGACCCUAUAGAGUUUUAUAUUUAAGUUUAAUUAUAUAUUUAUGUAUAAGUUUAAAAUUAAUUAAUUUAAUUAUUUUAUUGGGGUGAUAAAAAAAUUAAAAUAACUUUUUUUUAAUUUAAACAUUAAUUGAUGAUUUUAUGAUCCAUAAUUUAUGAUUAUAAGAAAAAAUUACCUUAGGGAUAACAGCGUAAUUUUUUUUUUUAGUUCUUAUAAAAAAAAAAGUUUGCGACCUCGAUGUUGGAUUAAGAUAAAAUUUAAAUGCAGAAGUUUAAAAUUUUUGAUCUGUUCGAUCAUUAAAAUCUUACA